GAUGAAGAACGCAGCGAAAUGCGAUAAGUAAUGUGAAUUGCAGAAUUCAGUGAAUCAUCGAAUCUUUGAACGCACAUUGCGCCCGCCAGUAUUCUGGCGGGCAUGCCUGUUCGAGCGUCAUUUCAAUCCUCAAGACCCCUUCGGGGGACUUGGUGUUGGGGACCGGCACAGGGGCCUGCCUGCUUGUCUUGCAGCGCCCUCGCCGCCCCCGAAAUGAAUUGGCGGCCUCGUCGCGGCCUCCCCUGCGUAGUAGCACAACCUCGCAACGGGAACGUGACGGCGGCCACUGCCGUAAAACAACCCCAAUUUUAUUAGAGUUGACCUCGAAUCAGGUAGGAAUACCCGCUGAACUUAAGCAUAUCAAUAAGCGGAGGA
RNAcentral lists this unclassified non-coding RNA (375 nucleotides) under soil metagenome. Its description in RNAcentral is "partial contains 5.8S ribosomal RNA, internal transcribed spacer 2, and large subunit ribosomal RNA". The stretch from base 1 to 120 matches the Rfam family "5.8S ribosomal RNA", at positions 35 to 154 of the family's 154-position model. The record is from RNAcentral.